AACGCAUAUUGCGCUCUCUGGUAUUCCGGGGAGCAUGCCUGUUUGAGCGUCAUUAAAAUCCAUCAAACAAUGUCUUGUUUGUUUUUAAACGAACUGAGAUGUGAGUUUGGAAUUGAGCAAGGAAUCGGAGGGGUUUGGAAACAAACUCUGAUGAUUCAUGCUUUAAUAGAAUUGGCAGUCCACAUGUUUCUACUAGAAUAUGUGCCCUCAAUGCGAUAAGGAACUUUGAAAAAAGCCCAUUCGUUGAGCGAGCUAUAUGUAAUUUGGUAGAGUCUCUCUUAAAAAGGAGAUUUGUAUGUUGGAUUGGACUAGCAGUUGACUUGACACAUUUGUGCCAAGUUUUUCUACAAUUUGUAUUUUGACCUCAAAUCAGGUAAGGUUACGCGCUGAACUUAA
This 396-nucleotide unclassified non-coding RNA is filed under the name uncultured fungus. RNAcentral describes it as "partial contains 5.8S ribosomal RNA, internal transcribed spacer 2, and large subunit ribosomal RNA". The stretch from base 1 to 52 matches the Rfam family "5.8S ribosomal RNA", at positions 103 to 154 of the family's 154-position model. RNAcentral also lists the same sequence under 1 other name. Lineage: Eukaryota; Fungi. The record is from RNAcentral.